This 577-nucleotide ribosomal RNA is filed under the name uncultured delta proteobacterium. RNAcentral describes it as "bacterial SSU rRNA". It matches the Rfam family "Bacterial small subunit ribosomal RNA", at positions 97 to 650 of the family's 1533-position model. Lineage: Bacteria; Deltaproteobacteria. The record is from RNAcentral.
GGCGCACGGGUGAGUAACGCGUGGGUAAUCUACCCUUGGGUCUGGGACAACUCCGGGAAACUGGAGCUAAUACCGGAUAAGACCACGGAGUCUUCGGUCUCUGCGGAAAAAGAUGGCCUCUUCUCGAAAGCUAUCGCCCAUCGAUGAGCCCGCGUACCAUUAGCUUGUUGGUGAGGUAAAGGCUCACCAAGGCGACGAUGGUUAGCUGGUCUGAGAGGAUGAUCAGCCACACCGGAACUGAGACACGGUCCAGACUCCUACGGGAGGCAGCAGUCGGGAAUCUUGGGCAAUGGGCGAAAGCCUGACCCAGCAACGCCGCGUGAGGGAUGAAGGCCCUCGGGUCGUAAACCUCUGUCGGGAGGGAAGAAAGGCACCCGGUCGAAUAGGCCGGGUGAUUGACGGUACCUCCAAAGGAAGCGCCGGCUAACUCCGUGCCAGCAGCCGCGGUAAUACGGAGGGCGCAAGCGUUGUUCGGAAUCAUUGGGCGUAAAGCGCGUGUAGGUGGCUUGGAAAGUUGGGUGUGAAAGCCCGGGGCCCAACCCCGGAAUUGCACUCAAAACUCCCUCGCUAGAGUCCC